CCUACGGGAGGCAGCAGUGGGGGAUAUUGCACAAUGGGGGAAACCCUGAUGCAGCGACGCCGCGUGGGCGAAGAAGUAUUUCGGUAUGUAAAGCCCUAUCAGCAGGGAAGAAGAAAUGACGGUACCUGAGUAAGAAGCACCGGCUAAAUACGUGCCAGAAGCCGCGGUAAUACGUAUGGUGCAAGCGUUAUCCGGAUUUACCGGGUGUAAAGGGAGCGCAGGCGGCACGGCAAGCCUGAUGUGAAAGCCCGCGGCCCAACCGCGGGACUGCAUUGGGAACUACCGGGCUGGAGUGCCGGAGAGGUAGGCGGAAUUCCUAGUGUAGCGGUGAAAUGCGUAGAUAUUAGGAGGAACACCAGUGGCGAAGGCGGCUUACUGGACUGUAACUGACGUUGAGGCUCGAAAGCGUGGGGAGCAAACAGGAUUAGAUACCCUAGUAGUC
Molecule: ribosomal RNA, 442 nt
Filed under: uncultured bacterium
Lineage: Bacteria
Description: partial 16S ribosomal RNA
Rfam family: Bacterial small subunit ribosomal RNA
Source: RNAcentral